RNAcentral lists this transfer RNA (69 nucleotides) under Marmota monax (woodchuck). Its description in RNAcentral is "tRNA.Leu". Lineage: Eukaryota; Metazoa; Chordata; Mammalia; Rodentia; Sciuridae. The record is from RNAcentral.
GGAGUUGUGGCUCAGUGGUAGAGUGUUCAUCCAGAUUGUGUGAGGCCCUGGGUUCGAUCCUCAGCACCA